AUUGAACGCUGGCGGCAGGCCUAACACAUGCAAGUCGAACGAGUGGCGGACGGGUGAGUAAUGUCUGGGAAACUGCCUGAUGGAGGGGGAUAACUACUGGAAACGGUAGCUAAUACCGCAUACCAUCGGAUGUGCCCAGAUGGGAUUAGCUAGUGGGGGGGGUAAAGGCUCACCUAGGCGACGAUCCCUAGCUGGUCUGAGAGGAUGACCAGCCACACUGGAACUGAGACACGGUCCAGACUCCUACGGGAGGCAGCAGUGGGGAAUAUUGCACAAUGGGCGCAAGCCUGAUGCAGCAAUGCCGCGUGUAUGAAGAAGGCCUUCGGGUUGUAAAGUACUUUCAGCGGGGAGGCGUUACUCGCAGAAGAAGCACCGGCUAACUCCGUGCCAGCAGCCGCGGUAAUAC
This 406-nucleotide ribosomal RNA is filed under the name uncultured bacterium. RNAcentral describes it as "partial 16S ribosomal RNA". It matches the Rfam family "Bacterial small subunit ribosomal RNA", at positions 30 to 526 of the family's 1533-position model. The record is from RNAcentral.